RNAcentral lists this ribosomal RNA (800 nucleotides) under uncultured bacterium. RNAcentral describes it as "bacterial SSU rRNA". It matches the Rfam family "Bacterial small subunit ribosomal RNA", at positions 17 to 796 of the family's 1533-position model. The record is from RNAcentral.
UCCUGGCUCAGAGUGAACGCUGGCGGCGUGCCUAACACAUGCAAGUCGAACGAGAAAGCACCUUCGGGUGCAAGUAGAGUGGCAGGCGGGUGAGUAAUGCAUAGGUAAUCUACCUUCGAGUGGGGGAUAACUUGCCGAAAGGUAAGCUAAUCCCGCAUAAUGUCGUGAUGCGUAAGUGUUGCGAACAAAGGAGGGGAUCCUUCGGGACCUUUCGCUUGAGGAUGAGCCUAUGUCCUAUUAGCUUGUUGGUGAGGUAAUGGCUCACCAAGGCUCUGAUGGGUAGCCGAGCUGAGAGGCUGAUCGGCCACACUGGGACUGAGAUACGGCCCAGACUCCUACGGGAGGCAGCAGUAGGGAAUAUUGCGCAAUGGUCGAAAGGCUGACGCAGCGACGCCGCGUGGAGGACGAAGGCCUUCGGGUUGUAAACUCCUUUUCUGGGGGACGAAUAAGGUAAGUAGGUAAUGGCUUACCGAUGACGGUACCCCAGGAACAAGCGCCGGCUAACUUCGUGCCAGCAGCCGCGGUAAGACGUAGGACGCGAGCGUUAUCCGGAUUUACUGGGCGUAAAGCGCCUGUAGGCGGUCAGGUAAGUCGGUUGUGAAAGCCCCGUGCUCAACGCGGGGAGGCCAAGCGAUACUGCCGGACUUGAGGGUGGCAGAGGGGAGUGGAAUUUCCGGUGUAGCGGUAAAAUGCGCAGAUAUCGGGAGGAACACCAGUGGCGAAGGCGGCUCCCUGGGCCACACCUGACGCUGAGAGGCGAAAGCUAGGGUAGCAAACAGGAUUAGAGACCCUGGUAGUCC